This 1660-nucleotide long non-coding RNA is filed under the name Setaria viridis. RNAcentral's name for it is "long non-coding RNA (SVIR_LNC007961)". The record is from RNAcentral. Lineage: Eukaryota; Viridiplantae; Streptophyta; Magnoliopsida; Poales; Poaceae.
UUGAGGAAGCCCAUGGAUCACCUAAUGGGCCAUGAGUGCUUUCAUAUCCCAACCCAUGGUCCUUAAGUGUCCACAUUCAAUGAAUCUUGAGCUAAGGGGACUUAAGCAUGAAGAAAUUGGAGUUUCAAAAAGUUAUCAACAAGAUCAAGUCAACCCUAGAGAUAUUCAUGCACCCAAAAUAGCAUGAUAUUUCGAUGCAAAAUUGGAGACCUAAACGACCUCUAAUGAAGAAUGUUUCACUACCAAAGUUGUGGCCAUCGUCGAGAGCUUCAAUUUGAACACUUGGAAAGCAAAAUUUGGAUCAUGGAGCUAGGAGAUAUAGCCCCCGAAAUACUUGGUACGCACAGAAGUCUGAAAUUAGACAGAUUAUCUUCUAACACUAUUUUGCGGACCUUAACUUCAUUUCCAGGGAAAGAAAUGAAUACCAAAGUUGGACAUCUUUUUGUGCUACACAAUUUAGGCACUGGAUUUGCCUUAUUUCGAGUUCGGACAUGGGGCAUAUGACGUCGCGUAGGAAGGGCUACAUAAAAGGAAAUUCUAGGCAUGUCAGAUUUUAUGGAAAUCAAGUUUGCUUAGCUCCCAAGCAAGGAGCUCGUGCAAGCGAAGGUGGAGCACGCCCCAAAGCUCACCAAGGGUAUAAAUAUGACCCCCUAGGCGCCUUCAAGGGGGAAUCCAUCCACCAGAACUCAACAAAACCUAGGGCAUUCACUAGAGGGAGCUGAGGGCUACCACAAGUCUUCGAAGUUCUUAAAGAGAUGGCUUAGCCCAAACCCUAGCCACCCUGGCCUCUCUACAUGGUUGUGCUGUGGUGGAGUUCAAGAGCAGUAGUAGAUCAUCGAUAGUAUGUACUCAGAGGUAUUGAUCUAAAUACAUCUAUUAUGUGAGCAAUGUUCUUCAUGCCAUCCGAUCUAUUAGGGACUCAAUGCCUCCUUUUAUGCUUUCUAUCUAUCAUGGAUGCUUGUUCCAAGUCUAGUUCCGGAUUAGACUAUCUAGCAUGCUUGGUGUAAUCAUGGUGAUUACAUCUAGUAUGUCGACCCUUCAUGAUAGUUAGACACGUUCACUUGUGGUUGUGCCCUUAAACUGCCUGCACUGAUAGGGGAGGUCGUGACGGGGUCUGCUUCCGUGUAAGGUGGGGAUUUUCAGGAGGUUGACCGGAAGUAGUACUUUAAAGAUUACUUUGGAUGAGAUACAUGAUGUGCUUGCUUAUUAAAUAGAUCUACAUCUUCUAGAUGAUAGCCUCUUGUCACCCUUGGUUAUGCUAUCCCAUAUGUAUCCGUUGAUGUAAUCAACCUAUCCUCUAUCAUUUAUAUCUAUUAAGUUUACCUUUAUAUGCAAUCAAUGCUUCAAGUUAGGAUUAAUCCGCUACAUUAGAUGGAAACCUCUACUUAGUUCGUUGUUAAUCCACGAAUUAAUAAAUCUUGGACAAAUACUCUUAGGGAAAAGCUACGAUGAUCCGUGCACUUGUGGUUCACAAACUGGCACGCUAACUACCGUCAACAGUGUAAAAGGGUUAACCCUGAGGUGCUAUGUUUGGAGUGACAAGGAUUAUAAAUUGACCCUCAACCCUCCCUCCCCCUGAAAACUUCCAAGGUGGUACUAAACCCACCAACUACAACCACAGUUAGGUCACAUGGGCUAGCACCUUCAACUACUAUGAUAU